UGCACAUGAGGUUCGGUGUCAUAUUUUACUCUAAAAGUUCAGGGUUUGGUCUAAACUCUAGAGAAGAAAAACCUUCCCGCACAAUCAGAGAGAGACUGGUUUUCAGCCUUCAGGGUCUUAUUUAACACACAGACAGUCAUUUUUCAAACAUCUCCUCCCUCCAGCAGAUCAUGUUUUACUUGCAUGUCGAGUGGGGGGGAUCCAAACUGCGACGGCAACCAUUCUAACUUUGCAUGCAGCUAGCAGGAGAAAAACUCAUUUAAAUGCAGGUGUGGUUUUUCUACAUUUAGACUCUGUGGUCUCACAAAGGCGCGUCUUUCACCAUCCGCGAUCUCAUACUUUCUAAUGCCCUCUUUUUGCAAAAUGGAGCAGACAUGGUUUCAAUUUUCCCACUGAUAGUAUCAAAGAAUAUAGACAGUGUAGUGCCUUUAAAAUGGCACUACACUAGUUUAAAUACAUUAUUACAGGAAAUAUCAUGACUGUCCAGUUCAUCCAUAACAUUUUUCUUCAGUGUCACCUUCUUGUUCCUCAUGCUUAUUCUGAUGGUGUUUCAUAGAGACAUUUUUCCUAGUCCACUGUGCAAUGCCACCACUCACUUAGUGCUUACUUUCAUUUUUCUUUCUGUGUUUGAGCAGGGAUGUCAGACUCCUUUUGUCAUAAGCUACUUUGAUGUUAAGUGAAUCAGACCAGUGAAACUGACCUUUCUGUCAGUGUAACUACACAGUUACACCAACACAUCUUAAUAUAAGGCAAAGAAGUGCCGUUUUAACUGUACACCUCAGUUUUUCUGCAUGAUAAAGAAAUAUUGCUGUUGGGUCAUUCCAUCUUCUGCUCGACAGGAGCAACAGAAAAAAAUCCUAAAAUCUGAACGACCGUGGUCUAAAAAAAGACACACAUAUUUAACAAAAUCAUUCUGAAAUCACAUGAAAGUGGGUUGAUGGAUGACAAAAAGGUUUCUGAAGUUUCUCUGUGGUCAUUAUAUACGGUAAAACUUUGGAUGAUAAUAUUUUUUUGUUCAAAUCAGAGAUGGUCAAACAUAAAAUUUUAAAAAGUUUGCUGAUUUAAGAUGGAAUAAAUAAAUUUGUAAAUUUACAGAAGAUCUGGUAGCUCAUUGUCCAGACUCUCCUGUAAUUUCAAAAGUGAAGAUUUUGUUAAAAUUCUGAUUUUUAAUUUUUUAAAUACAGAUUUUUCUCUGAUAAAUGCUAAAAAAAAAAAUCAACAACAGCAGUGUUCUGUCAUUUCAUUUGGAGUACAAAUGGCAGUGGGUGAGGUCUUUAUCAGUAGGAAAAGCUGUGACCAGUAAAAGUUUAAUCUGGCCCCCGGGCCUUAUUUUUGACACACCUGGUGCAAAUGAUUUGUUUUCAAACAUUUUUUUUUCUUCUUCUUCAAGAAAGCCAUCUUUACUGUUUACUAGAAAAGAUCCACACUGAAUUUUACUUUAAUAAAGAUGGAUAAUGUCAUCAGUCUUUUUUUAUGUCCCACAUUAGCACAUUGCUGCAGUUUCCCUUCGUAUUUGAGUCCCUUUGUAUUUCAUUUUCAUUUCAGUGACUGCGUUGAUAUGUUACCUGUAUGCAAACUUCCUAAAGUAAUAAAGACACGAUGGGCAGCUGA
This is a long non-coding RNA of Astatotilapia calliptera (eastern happy), 1611 nucleotides long. The record is from Ensembl. NCBI's taxonomy places the organism in Eukaryota, Metazoa, Chordata, Actinopteri, Cichliformes, Cichlidae.